AAGUCGUAACAAGGUUUCCGUAGGUGAACCUGCGGAAGGAUCAUUAACCCCCCCGUGAACCUUCAUCCUGCUCUUGUAACCCGCGUAGUUCGCAAUCUCUGAUAAAUCAUAGCCCGGAUAGUUGUAGUGAUUCAGACCUCUGGCUACGUGCGAACAUUGGAACAGUUACAAUCGAGCGGUAGUUCUAUAGGCAAUGUUUCCCCAAGCAGUCAGUGUCGGAAAGUGUCAUUGAUUGUGCAAGGAUAGCGUUUCUACGAUUCCUGUAGACCGUACACUCGGGCAGGAACUUUGCCAAAGCCCUAAUAACCCCACAGUUUAAUGUGAAGCUCAAUGUAAUACAUUGGGUAAAAACACCGAACAACUGUUAACAAUGGAUAUCUUUGUUCUC
Molecule: unclassified non-coding RNA, 388 nt
Filed under: fungal sp.
Lineage: Eukaryota; Fungi
Description: partial internal transcribed spacer region
Rfam family: Eukaryotic small subunit ribosomal RNA (bases 1-46)
Source: RNAcentral